GUGGGGAAUAUUGGGCAAUGGGCGAAAGCCUGACCCAGCAACGCCGCGUGAAGGAAGAAGGUCUUCGGAUCGUAAACUUCUAUCCCCGGUGAAGAUAAUGACGGUAACCGGGAAGGAAGCCCCGGCUAACUACGUGCCAGCAGCCGCGGUAAUACGUAGGGGGCAAGCGUUGUCCGGAAUGAUUGGGCGUAAAGGGCGCGUAGGCGGCUCGGUAAGUCUGGAGUGAAAUUCCUGCUUUCAAGGUGGGAACUGCUUUGGAUACUGUCGGGCUUGGGUGCAGGAGAGGUAAGUGGAAUUCCCGGUGUAGCGGUGAAAUGCGUAGAGAUCGGGAGGAACACCAGUGGCGAAGGCGACACACUGGCUCAUUACUGACGCUGAGGCGCGAAAGCGUGGGGAGCGAACAGGAUUAGAUACCCUUGUAGUCC
RNAcentral lists this ribosomal RNA (425 nucleotides) under uncultured bacterium. RNAcentral describes it as "partial 16S ribosomal RNA". It matches the Rfam family "Bacterial small subunit ribosomal RNA", at positions 354 to 796 of the family's 1533-position model. The record is from RNAcentral.